RNAcentral lists this transfer RNA (72 nucleotides) under Camelus bactrianus (Bactrian camel). It matches the Rfam family "tRNA". Rfam says of the family: Transfer RNA (tRNA) molecules are approximately 80 nucleotides in length. Their secondary structure includes four short double-helical elements and three loops (D, anti-codon, and T loops). Lineage: Eukaryota; Metazoa; Chordata; Mammalia; Artiodactyla; Camelidae. RNAcentral also lists the same sequence under 2 other names. The record is from Rfam by way of RNAcentral.
GACAGUAUAGCUCAGUGGAAGUGUGUGUGCUUAGCAUGCACGAGGUCCUGGGUUCAAUCCCUAGUACCUCCA